Molecule: transfer RNA, 77 nt
Filed under: Lentisphaerae bacterium ADurb.BinA184
Lineage: Bacteria; Pseudomonadati; Lentisphaerota
Description: tRNA-Val
Rfam family: tRNA
About the family: Transfer RNA (tRNA) molecules are approximately 80 nucleotides in length. Their secondary structure includes four short double-helical elements and three loops (D, anti-codon, and T loops).
Source: RNAcentral
GGGCGGUUAGUUCAGUUGGUCAGAACAUCUGGCUUACACCCAGGAGGUCGCUGGUUCGAGUCCAGCACCGCCCACCA